CGGAAUUACUGGGCGUAAAGCGUACGCAGGCGGUCUGUUAAGUCAGAUGUGAAAUCCCCGGGCUUAACCUGGGAACUGCAUUUGAAACUGGCAGGCUAGAGUCUCGUAGAGGGGGGUAGAAUUCCAGGUGUAGCGGUGAAAUGCGUAGAGAUCUGGAGGAAUACCGGUGGCGAAGGCGGCCCCCUGGACGAAGACUGACGCUCAGGUACGAAAGCGUGGGGAGCAAACAGGAUUAGAUACCCUGGUAGUCCACGCUGUAAACGAUGUCGAUUUGAAGGUUGUGGUCUUGAGCCGUGGCUUUCGGAGCUAACGCGUUAAAUCGACCGCCUGGGGAGUACGGCCGCAAGGUUAAAACUCAAAUGAAUUGACGGGGGCCCGCACAAGCGGUGGAGCAUGUGGUUUAAUUCGAUGCAACGCGAAGAACCUUACCUACUCUUGACAUCCAGAGAACUGAGCAGAGAUGCUUAGGUGCCUUCGGGAACUGUGAGACAGGUGCUGCAUGGCUGUCGUCAGCUCGUGUUGUGAAAUGUUGGGUUAAGUCCCGCAACGAGCGCAACCCUUAUCCUUUGUUGCCAGCGAUUCGGUCGGGAACUCAAAGGAGACUGCCGGUGAUAAACCGGAGGAAGGUGGGGAUGACGUCAAGUCAUCAUGGCCCUUACGAGUAGGGCUACACACGUGCUACAAUGGCGCAUACAAAGAGAAGCGAUCUCGCGAGAGUCAGCGGACCUCAUAAAGUGCGUCGUAGUCCGGAUUGGAGUCUGCAACUCGACUCCAUGAAGUCGGAAUCGCUAGUAAUCGUGGAUCAGAAUGCCACGAUGAAUACGUUCUCGGGCCUUGUACACACCGCCCGUCACACCAUGGGAGUGGGUUGCAAAAGAAGUAGGUAGCUUAACCUUAGGGAGGGCGUUUACCACUUUGUGAUUCAUGACUGGGGUGAAGUCGUAACAAGGUAACC
This 955-nucleotide ribosomal RNA is filed under the name uncultured bacterium. RNAcentral describes it as "bacterial SSU rRNA". It matches the Rfam family "Bacterial small subunit ribosomal RNA", at positions 546 to 1501 of the family's 1533-position model. The record is from RNAcentral.